Molecule: long non-coding RNA, 1584 nt
Filed under: Lactuca sativa (garden lettuce)
Lineage: Eukaryota; Viridiplantae; Streptophyta; Magnoliopsida; Asterales; Asteraceae
Description: long non-coding RNA (LSAT_LNC006981)
Source: RNAcentral
UUACACUCAGAUAUGAGAGGUUUGCGUGUAUUAGAGGCACUCCGGGUAUGAGAGAUUUACGGGUAUGAGAGGGUCUCCGUGUAUGAUAAUCUCUCUGGGUAUUAGAGGCUUUUAGCUACUUGGGAACGCUCUUCGGGUAUGAGAGGUCUGCGGGUUAUGAGAGGCUCUCCGGGUAUGAGAGGUUUGCUCGAAUGAGAAGUUCUGCAGGUAUGAGAGGUCUGCGGGUAUGAGAGGCUCUCCGGGUAGGAGAGGCUCUCCAGGUAUGAGAUGUUUAUGCGUAUGAGAGGUCUGCAGGUAUGAGAGGUAUGCGAAUAUGAGAGGGUCUCCGGGAAUGAGAGGGUCUCCAGGUCUGAGAUGCUCUCCGGGUAUGAGAGACUUUUAGCUCCUUGAGCAGGCUUUUAGCUCCUCGGGAAGGCUUUUAGCUCCUCGUGCAGGCUCCUCAGAGUAUGAGAGGUCUGCGAUUUAUUAAAGGCUCUCCGGGUAUGAGAGGCUCUAUGGGUAUGAGAGGAUUUUCUGGUAUGAGAGGUUUACAUGUAUGAGAGGGUCUUCGGGUAUGAGAGGUCUGCGGGUAUGAGAGGGUCUCUGGGUAUGAGAGGUCUGCGGUUAUGAGAGGGUCUUUGGGUAUGAGAUGCUCUCUAGGUAUGAGAGGCUCUCCGGGUAUGAGAGGAUUUUAGCCCCUCGGUCAGGCUCCUCGAGUAUGAGAGGUCUACAGGUUAUGAGAGGCUCUUCGGGUACGAGAGGUUUGCGCGUAUGAGAGGGUCUCCGAGUAUAAGAGGUUUGCGGGUGUGAGAGGCUCUCCGGGUAGGCGAGGCUCUCCGGGUAUGAGAGGUUUUCGCGUAUGAGAGGUCUUCGGGUAUGAGAGGGUCUCCAGGUACGAGAGGUUCUUCGAGUGUGAAUGGGUCUCCAGGUAUCAGAGGCUUUUAGCUCCUUGGGCAGGCUUUUAGCUCCUCGGGCAGCCUCCUCAGACUAUGAGAUGUAUGAUGGUUAUGAUAGGCUCUCCAUGUAUGAGAGGUUUGCGCUUAUGAGAGGGUUUCCGGGUAUGAGAGGUCUACGGAUAUGAGAGGUUGUCCGGUUAUGAGAGGCUUUGCCGAUAUAAGAGGCUCUCCGGGUAUGAGAGGUUUGCGUGUAUGAGAAGGUCUCCAGGUAUGAUAGGUCUGCGGGUAUGAGAGGGUCUCCAAGUAUGAUAGGUUCACUGAGUAUGAGAGGUGUGCGGGUUAUGAGAGGCUCUGCGGGUAUGAGAGGUUUGUGCAUAUGAGAGGGUAUGCGGGAAUGAGAGGGUCUCUGGGUAUGAAAGGCUUUUAGCUCCUCGAGUAGGCUUUUCUUUGUCAGGUUUUUGAGAGGGUCUCCGAGUAUGCGAGGUCUUCCGAGUAUGAGAGGCUCUCAGGAUAUGAGAGGUUUACACGUAUGAGAGGGUCUCCGGGUAUAAGAGAUAUGCAGGUAUGAGCGGGUCUCCGAGUACAAGAGGCUCUCUGGGUAUGAGAUGUAUGCGGGUUAUGAGAGGCUCUCCGGGUAUGAAAGGCUCUUCGGUUAUGAGAGGUUUACGCGUAUGAGAGGGUCUCUAGGUAUGAGAGGUCUGCGGGUAUG